GGGAGUCUGAUGGUACACAAGGUGACAAGGGUAGACCUAUGAGAGGGAGGUGUGAUGAUACACAAGGUGACAAGGGUAGACCUAUGAGAGGAAGGUGUGAUGAUACACAAGGUGACAAGGGUAGACCCAAGAGAGGGGGGUGUGAUGAUACACAAGGUGACAAGGGUAGACCUAUGAGAGGAAGGUCUGAUGGUACAUAAGGUGACAAGGGUAGACCUAUGAGAGAAAGGUCCGAUGGUACAUAAGGUGACAAGGGAGACCCAUGAGAGGGGAGUCUGAUGAUACACAAGGUGACAAGGGUAGACCUAUGAGAGGAAGGUGUGAUGAUACACAAGGUGACAAGGGUAGACCUAUGAGAGGAAGGUCUGAUGGUACACAAGGUGACAAGGGUAGACCUAUGAGAUGAAGGUCUGAUGGUACAUAAGGUGACAAGGGAGACGUCUGAUGGUACAUAAGGUGACAAGGGUAGACCUAUGAGAGGAAGGUGUGAUGAUACACAAGGUGACAAGGGUAGACCUAUGAGAGGAAGGUCUGAUGGUACAUAAGGUGACAAGGGUAGACCUAUGAGAGGAAGGUCUGAUGGUACAUGAGGUGACAAGGGUAGACCUAUGAGAGGAAGGUCUGAUUGUACAUAAGGUGACAAGGGUAGACCUAUGAGAGGGAGGUCUGAUGGUACAUAAGGUGACAAGGGUAGACCUAUGAGAGGAAGGUCUGAUGGUACAUGAGGUGACAAGGGUAGACCUAUGAGAGGAAGGUCUGAUUGUACAUAAGGUGACAAGGGUAGACCUAUGAGAGGGAGGUCUGAUGGUACAUAAGG
Long non-coding RNA from Nematostella vectensis (starlet sea anemone), 817 nucleotides. RefSeq lists it as uncharacterized. The transcript is spliced from 2 exons. Lineage: Eukaryota; Metazoa; Cnidaria; Anthozoa; Actiniaria; Edwardsiidae. The record is from RefSeq and is a predicted model, not a curated record.